This 829-nucleotide long non-coding RNA is filed under the name Hordeum vulgare. RNAcentral's name for it is "long non-coding RNA (HVUL_LNC008054)". The record is from RNAcentral. Lineage: Eukaryota; Viridiplantae; Streptophyta; Magnoliopsida; Poales; Poaceae.
GUGUAUGUAUGCGUAUAUAGGAUUGGGAGGUACUAGGAAUGAGUAGAAACUUGCAUGAGAGGUCAUCGGCGCCAGAACUGUAACUUCCACUAUCCAGUAUAUGAUAAGCAGGAGAAGAACAUGCCCAUGUUUGCUACCCUGGCUAGUACUAGUUACCUCUAACAGCUAAUGAACCUGAAGACCAGGCCAUGUGAUCCAGUGCUUCUGCAUUAGUAGUGUUGGGAUAGGAUACUGGAUUUUUAGCGCCCGGUGUUUGUACACCCUUCUAUAACCACCGUUUAGGCCUUGUUUGGUACUAGUGUUUUUAAAGAGAUUGGUAGGGAUAAUCCCCCAAGGGAUUGGGUGAAACCCCAACCUUUCACCCAAUCCCUUCAAAUCCCCAAUUAUCCCUAAUACACUAGGUAGGGGUAGUGUAUUGAGUAUUGAAAAAAAUGCACUAUAAUUUAGGGAUUUGAGGAGAAAUAUGGGGAUAAAACAUGUCAAAUACACUAGAAUCAAAUGAUGUUAUGAGAUGUGUGGGAAUUGAGGGGUUUGACCGGGAUAAUCUCCACAAAUUCCCUAAAAUACACUAGUACCAAACAAGGCCUUAGGUAUAAGAAGAGUUUUGAGGUUUUGGCAACACACUCUAAUAGUUUUUGUUUAGCAGGCCUCCUUGAACUGUAAGAGCUAGAACUGUGGCCCAUACGACACUUUUGAUUUUAGGCAGAUUCUUCUGCACGCGUGUCACUUCCUGGUCGAGCCGGUGAUUCGAAUAAGCAGCAAUCUGGAAUAAAUGAACAUGCAUCAUUUGGAACUACAUAUCAAUCUUAUAUCCUUCCUGUAAGUGCUC